RNAcentral lists this ribosomal RNA (164 nucleotides) under Calycophyllum megistocaulum. Its description in RNAcentral is "5.8S ribosomal RNA". It matches the Rfam family "5.8S ribosomal RNA". Rfam says of the family: 5.8S ribosomal RNA (5.8S rRNA) is a component of the large subunit of the eukaryotic ribosome. The record is from RNAcentral. Lineage: Eukaryota; Viridiplantae; Streptophyta; Magnoliopsida; Gentianales; Rubiaceae.
AAAACGACUCUCGGCAACGGAUAUCUCGGCUCUCGCAUCGAUGAAGAACGUAGCGAAAUGCGAUACUUGGUGUGAAUUGCAGAAUCCCGUGAACCAUCGAGUCUUUGAACGCAAGUUGCGCCCGAUGCCGUUAGGCGGAGGGCACGUCUGCCUGGGCGUCACGC